CCUACGGGGGGCUGCAGUCACGAAUCUUCCUCAAUGGCCGAAAGGCUGACGGAGCAAUGCCGCGUGUAUGAAGACGUCCUUCGGGGUGUAAAAUACUUUUAACUGGGACGAAUCAAUGACGGUACCAGUUGAAUAAGGGGCUGCUAACCUCGUGCCAGCAGCAGCGGUAAUACGAGGGCCCCGAGCGUUAUCCGGAUUUAUUGGGCGUAAAGGGUCCGUAGGCUGUUUGCCGAAUCUCCUGUUAAAUCUAUCGGCUCAACCGAUAGGCCGCGGGAGAGAUGAGCAGACUAGAGGCCGGAAGAGGCAAGCGGAAUUGCUGGUGUAGGGGUUAAAUCCGUUAAUAUCAGCAGGAACACCAAAUGCGUAGGCAGCUUGCUGGAACGAGCCUGACGCUAAGGGACGAAAGCGUGGGUAGCGAAUGGGAUUAGAUACCCCUGUAGUC
RNAcentral lists this ribosomal RNA (442 nucleotides) under uncultured bacterium. Its description in RNAcentral is "bacterial SSU rRNA". It matches the Rfam family "Bacterial small subunit ribosomal RNA", at positions 338 to 795 of the family's 1533-position model. The record is from RNAcentral.